GAUGAACGCUGGCGGCGUGCUUAACACAUGCAAGUCGAACGGAAAGGCCUCAGCUUGCUGGGGUACUCGAGUGGCGAACGGGUGAGUAACACGUGGGUGAUCUGCCCUGCACUUUGGGAUAAGCUUGGGAAACUGGGUCUAAUACCGAAUAUGACCACUUCUUGGAUGUUGUGGUGGAAAGCUUUUGCGGUGUGGGAUGAGCCUGCGGCCUAUCAGCUUGUUGGUGGGGUAAUGGCCUACCAAGGCGGCGACGGGUAUCCGGCCUGAGAGGGUGUACGGACACAUUGGGACUGAGAUACGGCCUAGACUCCUACGGGAGGCAGCAGUGGGGAAUAUUGCACAAUGGGCGCAAGCCUGAUGCAGCGACGCCGCGUGGGGGAUGAAGGCCUUCGGGUUGUAAACUCCUCUCGCUAUCGACGAAGCCACUUGUGGUGACGGUAGGUAGAUAAGAAGCACCGGCUAACUACGUGCCAGCCGCCGCAGUAA
This 486-nucleotide ribosomal RNA is filed under the name uncultured bacterium. Its description in RNAcentral is "partial 16S ribosomal RNA". It matches the Rfam family "Bacterial small subunit ribosomal RNA", at positions 28 to 523 of the family's 1533-position model. The record is from RNAcentral.